GGUGUAGGAGCCUCCAGGGAGAUGAUCUGCUGGAGGAGCUGAGACUCCACGCAACUGUGAAACACUAUUUUGGUGCUACUCUCAAAGCUCUCUGGUGCUGAUAUCUGAGUGUUGGACAGUUUCGGUGCUGGAGUGAGCGCUCUCUCUGCUACAGUGGAGGGCUUCAAGCACGCAGCUAGUCUGGCUGGAUGCAUCACGCGGUGGAGCCGUUUGGCGGGCGUGGCGCGCGGGACCCCUUCCCUCUGGACGGACUGAGCCGGGCCCCAUGGGGUCCCGUGGGGGGCCGCGCCUGGCAGCCGUCUGCCAGAUGUUCACCCGGAAUGAACCAACACCAGCUCCUUCCUCAUCUACCUCCUGGGCCCAUCGCCGGACUCAACCACCACCACAGUAAAUUCUUCAACAAUGGCCCCAUCCGAGGAGCAGAGAAGCUGGACAUGCCUCCUCAAAUGUUGGCGGAUCUUCAGAGGGAGCAGAAACCUCCUCACUUCCCCCCUCCCCCUCACCGCGCCUGGGAGCUGGGCCCGCUGUACGCCCCUCCUCUGCAGGUGCCUCUGCCCAGUGAGCACUCUCUGCGGCUGCACAACAUGGGCAUGGGCUACACCCCCGGAGGCCCGCCUCUGACCUCACACCUGCAGCCCAGCAGGCCCAGCCAGCCCCUCAAGUUCCCCGGGUCUCAGGAGCAGCACGUCCCCCGGGGCCCCCCCUUGUCAGGUGACGACAUGUGGGCUCAGGUGCACCAGCAGAGGGGCUACCCAGGGAAGAUGGUCGGGGGCCACUUAAAGAGACCAGGCCCCCCUCUCCCGGAGCACUCGGUCAUCCAGCACACUGCCCUGCCCCCCAGCACCCCGCCCCGCGCCUGGCUGAAGAUUGCCCCAGUCCCAGCAAGAGGAAGAAGGGCCCAGAACAGCAGCAGUUCUCAGGGCCUCCUCCACAGUCCCACGACCACACUGUACCCCCGAAACCUGCCUUCUGGAGCCCCCUUCACAAGGACAACGGCUCCUGGCAGAACCAAGCAGCGGAGCGCAAGAAGCCAGCGCGUGACAUUCAGGAAAGCAACAAACAGACCCCAGGAAGUUACACCUCAAAGUCUCUGGCCCCACCCACUCCCACUCAUUCGUCUCCAGGGAGCUAUAAACAUGGAUACGGCUCUCAGUACUACAAAGGCAAAGAGAAGCGCCCGUCGUAUGCCAACCCCAAGCCCCCAGGCCCCCCCUGCCCCUCCCUGGAGCCUCUGAGGGGGGCACAGCCCGGCGGCAGCCUGGGCGCCUCGGCUGUGGCAGCCAGCCCCAGCAGAGGGAGCAGAGAGCAGUACACGCUCAGUCAACAGUCACCAGCAGCCCCCCCUGUGACCAGCAGAAGCAGCAGUGUGCCUUACAGCCACUUGGGGCAUCAGGGCCCCGCUCUGCCCCCCCUCUGAGCUCCUCCUCGCUCACCCAGCAGAAUCACAGCGGGGCCCCCGAGCCCUGGAGGGGCCCCAGCAGAGCCCCUUCCCAGGUGAGGCUGCACGCACUCCAUCUCUUGACUUAAUGUCAACACGAGUGUGACAAUAUGACAUUAUGAAGAUUAUAUUCUGAAGACCAGUUAAAAGCCAGUGGCACAGUGUUGGGUUUUGAUAGGGCGGCCAGAUGACUGUACGGGACGUUUGAGAUGGAAUCAGAGGGGUGGGUGACCGGAUGAAUGUAUGGGACGUUUGAGAUGGAAUCAGAGGGGUGGGUGACCGGAUGAAUGUAUGGGACGUUUGAGAUGGAAUCAGAGGGGUGGGUGACCAGAUGACUGUACGGGAUGCUUGAGAUGGGAUCGGAGGGGUGGGCGACCAGAUGACUGUAUGGGACGUUUGAGAUGGAAUCAGGGGGUGGGUGAGGGGGGGGGGGGGGGGGGGGGGGGGUGGGGGGGGGGGGACCAGAUGAUGUAUGGGACGUUUGAGAUGGAAUCAGAGGGGUGGGUGACCGGAUGAAUGUAUGGGAUGCUUGAGAUGGAUCGGAGGGGUGGGGACCAGAUGACUGUAUGGGACGUUUGAGAUGGAAUCAGAGGGGUGGGUGACCAGAUGACUGUACGGGAUGCUUGAGAUGGGAUCGGAGGGGUGGGCGACCAGAUGACUGUAUGGGACGUUUGAGAUGGAAUCAGAGGGGUGGGUGACCGGAUGAAUGUAUGGGAUGCUUGAGAUGGGAUCGGAGGGGUGGGUGACCAGAUGACUGUAUGGGACGUUUGAGAUGGAAUCAGAGGGGUGGGUGACCAGAUGACUGUACGGGAUGCUUGAGAUGGGAUCGGAGGGGUGGGCGACCAGAUGACUGUAUGGGA
This 2298-nucleotide long non-coding RNA is filed under the name Neogobius melanostomus (round goby). RNAcentral's name for it is "lncRNA (ENSNMLG00000006951.1)". Lineage: Eukaryota; Metazoa; Chordata; Actinopteri; Gobiiformes; Gobiidae. The record is from RNAcentral.